UAGCGGAGGAAAAGAAACCAACAGGGAUUGCCCCAGUAACGGCGAGUGAAGCGGCAACAGCUCAAAUUUGAAAUCUGGCUUCGGCCCGAGUUGUAAUUUGUAGAGGAUGCUUUUGGUGAGGUGCCUUCUGAGUUCCCUGGAACGGGACGCCAGAGAGGGUGAGAGCCCCGUAUAGUUGGACACCGAGCCUCUGUAAAGCUCCUUCGACGAGUCGAGUAGUUUGGGAAUGCUGCUCAAAAUGGGAGGUAUAUCUCUUCUAAAGCUAAAUACUGGCCAGAGACCGAUAGCGCACAAGUAGAGUGAUCGAAAGAUGAAAAGCACUUUGAAAAGAGGGUUAAAUAGUACGUGAAAUUGUUGAAAGGGAAGCGCUUGUGACCAGACUUGUGCCGGGCUGAUCAUCCAGUGUUCUCACUGGUGCACUCUGCCCGGCUCAGGCCAGCGUCGGUUCUCGCAGGGGGACAAAAGCUUCGGGAACGUAGCUCUCUUCGGGGAGUGUUAUAGCCCGUUGCUCAAUACCCUUGUGGGGACCGAGGUUCGCGCUCUGCAAGACGCUGCAUAGCCGAGACGU
Molecule: ribosomal RNA, 568 nt
Filed under: Chaetomium convolutum
Lineage: Eukaryota; Fungi; Ascomycota; Sordariomycetes; Sordariales; Chaetomiaceae
Description: eukaryotic LSU rRNA
Rfam family: Eukaryotic large subunit ribosomal RNA
Source: RNAcentral